GACGAACGCUGGCGGCGUGCCUAAUACAUGCAAGUUGAGCGUUGAAGGUUGGUACUUGUACCGACUGGAUGAGCAGCGAACGGGUGAGUAACGCGUGGGGAAUCUGCCUUUGAGCGGGGGACAACAUUUGGAAACGAAUGCUAAUACCGCAUAAAAACUUUAAACACAAGUUUUAAGUUUGAAAGAUGCAAUUGCAUCACUCAAAGAUGAUCCCGCGUUGUAUUAGCUAGUUGGUGAGGUAAAGGCUCACCAAGGCGAUGAUACAUAGCCGACCUGAGAGGGUGAUCGGCAACAUUGGGAAUGAGACACGGCCCAAACUCCUACGGGAGGCAGAAGUAGGGAAUCUUCGGCAAUGGACGAAAGUCUGACCGAGCAACGCCGCGUGAGUGAAGAAGGUUUUCGGAUCGUAAAACUCUGUUGGUAGAGAAGAACGUUGGUGAGAGUGGAAAGCUCAUCAAGUGACGGUAACUACCCAGAAAGGGACGGCUAACUACGUGCCAGCCGCCGCCGUAA
Molecule: ribosomal RNA, 513 nt
Filed under: uncultured bacterium
Lineage: Bacteria
Description: partial 16S ribosomal RNA
Rfam family: Bacterial small subunit ribosomal RNA
Source: RNAcentral